UUAAGUCCCAUGUUUCAUUGUUCAUGAGUUUAUUAUAUUAUGUUAAUGUAAUUUUGUUAACCUUUUUGGAAAUAAGCAGAUAUAAGAUUUUAAAGUCAAUGAAAAAUGAAAGAAGAAAAAUAUAUUACACAUAUGUUGCUGUUAAAAUUUAUUAAAUAAAUACAGGUAAGAUUUGACGGACUUCCUUCCUUGUUGUGCUGGUAUCCAUUAUGACUUUUUUUUACUUUUACACAUUUUACUUUUCAUAAUAUGAAGAAUUUGAAUGGAAUGGUCAAAACUGUAGUGAAAAGUUGUCUCAUUGGCAACCAUACCAUAUUGUAUUUUUAUAUUUUCAAUAAUCUCACACAAUUUGAAAUUAUAUGUAAGCUACAUGUUGAUAAAUUAUAUGUGACUUUCAUGAAGAGAAAUAUUUUUGAUAUUUCCUAUGCUUUGAUUUCCCAAAACAAUGUCAUAUCUGAACAGCAGGUAGUUAUGUGCAUCUGUUUCUGGGAGUCAUUUAUAGUUUAGUCCAAUAUUUGGUUAACUAAUUGUUAUUUCCAUUUUGUAAGUUAUGUAAGUUGUUUUCUGUCAUUUAUUUUGGUCUGUUUGAAGUUUUGUGUAAGAAAGUGUGUUAAGCAGAUAAUACUUUACACUUGAUGAAAUCAUAAGUCCAAUAUUUUGUCUUAUGUUGUAAUCAUUUUCUGUUGAACCUAUUUGCAUAAAAGACUUCUUUGUUUUAAUUUGUUUAUAACUGCAGUAAGGACAAUUUCUAUUGUUUGAAAUCAGAUAUGUUAGAAACUCAGGUUUUAUUUUGCUGUUUUAUAUAUUUUUAUGGUUGGAUUAAUUGUUGCAGCUUGACUAAUUGUACUCUUGUAUAAAUGAAUAUAUUUUCCAUUUUGAAUAAUAAUUUUAUGUUAGAUUUAUUGAUGUGUGAAUGGGUUGUUGAGUUGUAUGUUCUACACUUUUUGUUCCAAACAAGGACUUAUAAAUGUAAAAUAGCUCUACUUAGUAUGUUUUAGCAUACUGACAAAAGUGUACAUGUUUACUGUGAGAAAGGACAUCAUUGUUAUCAUGAAAGAAUUGUGUUAACCAAUCACAAUGACUGGAUGUUUUAUUUAAUAUUUUAUAAUAUUCACAACAUAUCUAUCAAGAUUAAGACAAACUGUUUCUGGUAUUAAGUGCAACCACGAAAUCAAAAUUGUUAAAACAACUGAGGGGAGAACAAUAAUGUUAAUAAAGAACCAUUUGGCUCAUAAGUUAUUUGAAGGCAGUCUAAGUAGCAUUGGAACAUCUCAUAUCCAGGGCCAUUAAUUGGUCUCACUCCUUCAAUCAUGGGUCAUUUGAAACCUUUGUAUAACUUGUAUGUUAAAGUUUUAGUUUAUCAAUUAUAUCCGUUAUUUUGUUGAUAUUGGUGAUAGGACAUCAUUAGUUAUUUUGAAUAAGUUAGUUGUUGGUGUGAAUGAUAUAAAGCCAUUACAUGUGAGAAAUUAAAUAACAAGUCUACUGGUUGUUUGAUGUUUAGGUGAUGACUAUGUAUGAUUUUGAUUUUAUAAAAUAUCUUGCUUAUGUUGGUCUGAAAUAUGUGUUAUGGUAGCCAGAUACUAUAUCUACUUAACUAUAUGUAAUGAAAAACCUUAAAUGUGUCAUUUUUAUUUUCAGUAUUGAUGCAACAUUAAACUUGUUCUUUUUUUUUUUAUGUUAAAUAUACACAAAGGAGUAAGUUUGUUAAGGCACAAAUUUGGCCCUGAUUAUCAAACUCAAUGUUUCAAGAUAAAAAAUGGUGUCAACAAUCUAAAUAUUCAAAUAGAGCACAGGCGUCAACAAUCUAAAAUUUCAAGUCUUCAAGUCUGUGUAUGUAAAAUGUCAGUACAAACAUUAUGUUAUAGGACCUUUUUCUGCCAACACAUGUGCUGUUUGUUUUUCGUUUAAAAAAGAAAUCACAGAAAAAUUGCCCUUUUUCAAUGAUUUUUUUGCAGAAAAUCAAAAUGGGUGCUUUUUGUGAUGUCAUGAAUCCUAUGCUAUAAUGUAUAAAAAGUUUCCUAUUUAGUCAUUGUAUUAGCUAUGAUUUAUUGUGACAUUAGUCAAUAAAUCCUAAUUUCAUAUUUUAGCUGGAAUGAGGGGCUAUUUAAGCUCUGAUUCCUUUCACGGAUUUGGCUAUACUUUUUGAACCUUUUGGAUUAUAGCUCUUCAUCUUUUAUAUAAGCUUUGGAUUUCAAAUAUUUUGGCCACGAGCAUCACUGAAGAGACAUGUAUUGUCGAAAUGCGCAUCUGGUGCAAGAAAAUUGGUACCGUUAAUUUUAUUAAGACCUUUUUAAGCCUACUCCUUUCUGUAAGUUUAUCUUUUGGUGCAUUGUAUUGAAUAUUGUAAUUGUUUACUUAAUUUAGAUGGACUUAUUUGAAAUCGUAAAAUUAUUGAAUUAAUUCAACAGACAUUUGUAUUUCAUAAGUUUUAUUCAUGCAACAUGUAUUUUAUAUCAUCUGCUCAUAAUGAAAUCACUUAACACAAUUCAUGAUGACAUUAAACAACUAAAAAAAUGAUAACAAACUCUCUUUAUAGCCCUUGAUUCAAAAGGAUAUUCCAUUUGGAUGUUUGUCAAUAUAAAACACAAAUAAAAAGAUAUUUUGCCUUGUAACUUUAUUUUAUUAGUCCCCUACCGAUGAAGUCAAAGGGGACUAAAAGGGGCAUUAGCUACGAGAUAUAUAAAAAUCUAAAGUUUGAUUCUUUUUUGUUCAAUCAAUAAUGAAAGUGAAAUAGUGAAAAAACAAUUCGCUUUUUGCAG
RNAcentral lists this long non-coding RNA (2759 nucleotides) under Mytilus galloprovincialis (Mediterranean mussel). Lineage: Eukaryota; Metazoa; Mollusca; Bivalvia; Mytilida; Mytilidae. The record is from RNAcentral.